RNAcentral lists this ribosomal RNA (497 nucleotides) under uncultured bacterium. Its description in RNAcentral is "partial 16S ribosomal RNA". It matches the Rfam family "Bacterial small subunit ribosomal RNA", at positions 28 to 507 of the family's 1533-position model. The record is from RNAcentral.
GAUGAACGCUGGCGGCGUACCUAAUACAUGCAAGUCGAGCGAACAGACUAGGAGCUUGCUCCUCUGACGUUAGCGGCGGACGGGUGAGUAACACGUGGAUAACCUACCUAUAAGACUGGGAUAACUUCGGGAAACCGGAGCUAAUACCGGAUAAUAUAUUGAACCGCAUGGUUCAAUAGUGAAAGACGGUUUUGCUGUCACUUAUAGAUGGAUCCGCGCCGCAUUAGCUAGUUGGUAAGGUAACGGCUUACCAAGGCAACGAUGCGUAGCCGACCUGAGAGGGUGAUCGGCCACACUGGAACUGAGACACGGUCCAGACUCCUACGGGAGGCAGCAGUAGGGAAUCUUCCGCAAUGGGCGAAAGCCUGACGGAGCAACGCCGCGUGAGUGAUGAAGGUCUUCGGAUCGUAAAACUCUGUUAUUAGGGAAGAACAAAUGUGUAAGUAACUAUGCACGUCUUGACGGUACCUAAUCAGAAAGCCACGGCUAACUACGUG